CACACACACACACACACACACACACACACACACACACACGUGCAGUAGCUCUCUUAAAAGGGAUUUUCCAUAGACUUUGAUUGCUUUUUAUACAGCUAGUUAUAAAUAAAAUAUUAAAUACUGACAGAAAACGUUCUGUUUUUACAGUUUAAAAAUAAAUAAUUUAAUAACUUAAGUAUUAUAUUAACUUUAUUUUUCAUAAGGAAACUAGGCCUAUUUUACAAGGUGGCGAUUUGAAAUGAAUUUGUACAAUUUGACUUUGCGACAAGCGACUUUUAGAAAAAAAAAAACCAAACAAAAAAAAACACUUAAAACUAAUUAUAACCAACAGCAGAGAAUAAGAAGAAUGCAUUGAGAAAUGGAUAAGUAUGAAUUAGAUUUAAACAAAAAAUAGUUAUGCACGGUCAUAAGAGUGUGUUGUUAUUUUUAUGUAUCAUUUUUACAAAUGAGGACAUUGAGGUGUCCAAAAACAGGGCGUUUUAUCAGGUUUAUCUCAUUUCAGGAACAAAAAUCACAAAAAAUAUGACUGAGUACACACUCACACACACACACACACACACAUGUCAUCAGAAACUAAAUGUCACUUUCUAAUGUUUGCGUUUACAGACGAUUCAAUGAUCUACUCAACAGCAGAUUGACCAGACGGUCCAAUGAUCUACUCGACAGCAGAUAAACCAGAUGAUCCAAUGAUCUACUCAACAGAUAAACCAGAUGAUCCAACGAUCUACUCAACAGCAGAUAAACCAGAUGAUCCAACGAUCUACUCAACAGCAGAUAAACCAGAUGAUACAAUGAUCUACUCAACAGCAGAUAAACCUGACGAUCCAAUGAUCUACUCAACAGAAGAUAAACCAGACUAUCCAAUGAUCUACUCAACAGCAGAUAAACCAGACGAUCCAAUGAUCUACUCAACAGCAGAUAAACCAGAUGAUCCAAUGAUCUACUCAACAGCAGAGAAACCAGAUGAUCCAAUGAUCUACUCAACAGCAGAUAAACCCGACCAUCCAAUGAUCUACUCAACAGCAGAUAAACCCGACCAUCCAAUGAUCUACUCAACAGCAGAUAAACCUGACGAUCCAACGAUCUACUCAACAGCAGAUAAACCAGAAGAUACAAUCAUCUACUCAACAGCAGAUAAACCUGACGAUCCAACGAUCUACUCAACAGCAGAUAAACCUGACGAUCCAACGAUCUACUCAACAGCAGAUAAACCUGAUGAUCCAAUGAUCUACUCAACAGAAGAUAAACCUGAUGAUCCAACGAUCUACUUAACAGCAGAUAAACCAGACGAUCCAACGAUCUACUCAACAGCAGAUUGA
Long non-coding RNA from Cyprinus carpio (common carp), 1319 nucleotides. The record is from Ensembl. Lineage: Eukaryota; Metazoa; Chordata; Actinopteri; Cypriniformes; Cyprinidae.